RNAcentral lists this ribosomal RNA (670 nucleotides) under Pristimantis moro. RNAcentral's name for it is "partial 12S ribosomal RNA". It matches the Rfam family "Bacterial small subunit ribosomal RNA", at positions 366 to 1406 of the family's 1533-position model. The record is from RNAcentral. Lineage: Eukaryota; Metazoa; Chordata; Amphibia; Anura; Strabomantidae.
AGGCACGCCCAAGACAUCUAGCCAUGCCACACCCACAAGGGCUCUCAGCAGUGAUUAACAUUAAAAAUGAACGUAAGUUUGACUUAGUCAAUGAAUAUAGAACCGGCCAAUCUGGUGCCAGCUGCCGCGGUUACACCACGUGGCUCAAAUUGAUUCGGCGUAAAGCGUGAUUAAAGUGGGGUUAAACCUGAACUAAACUGUAAUACGCUUUUUCAUGGGAGAAUCAACCUCGAAAGUUACCCCAACCCACCAACUUGAACCCACGAUAAUUAAGACACAAACUGGGAUUAGAUACCCCACUAUGCUUAAUCAUAAACUUUUACUUACCACGCCAGGGAACUACGAGCAAAGCUUAAAACCCAAAGGACUUGACGGUACCCCAUAUCCCUCUAGAGGAGCCUGUCCUAUAACCGAUACCCCCCGUUAAACCUCACCACUUUUUGCAGCCUGUAUACUUCCGUCGCCAGCUUACCGCAUGAGUGAGUAAGCUUAAUGUCAAUACGUCAGGUCAAAGUGCAGCAAAUAAAGUGGCAAGAGAUGGGCUACACUUUCUAUUCUAGAAGACACGGAAGACUACAUGAAAUAGAAGGCGGAUUUAGCAGUAAGACGAAAAUAGAGAAUUCCUCUUAACAUGGUACUGGAGUAUGUACACACCGCCCGUCACCCUCUC